UUAAGAAUCCGUAUCUUCGAGUGCCCACACAGAUUGUCUGAUAAAUUGUUAAAGAGCAGUUGCGACGCGGCUUUCAGCUCACUGUCGCGAGGUGGCGUAUAUUACGCUUUCCUCUUUCAGAGUCAACCCUGAAUUUCAGGAUUUUUCUCUUCAACCGAACCGGCUGUUUGUGUGAAGUGAUUCACAUCCGCCGUGUCGAUGGAGGCGCAUUAUAGGGAGUUCUCCGCAGGCCGCAAUAGAAAAAUUGCAGAAAAAUGACUGACUGCUGCAUUCCCCAGCAAAACCCCGCUUUAUACCUUUUUACGCACAGAGUUAUCCACAAUCAUCAAUGUAAUUUCUGUAUUUUUCCCACGGUAAACACUGUCAAAAUUGAGAUCACCAUUGAAAGAGAAAAAUUCGCGAGCGUUGCGCAAACGUUUUCGUUACAAUG
This 430-nucleotide ribosomal RNA is filed under the name Escherichia coli 3-267-03_S1_C2. Its description in RNAcentral is "partial 16S ribosomal RNA". The record is from RNAcentral. Lineage: Bacteria; Pseudomonadati; Pseudomonadota; Gammaproteobacteria; Enterobacterales; Enterobacteriaceae.